RNAcentral lists this ribosomal RNA (428 nucleotides) under uncultured archaeon. Its description in RNAcentral is "bacterial SSU rRNA". It matches the Rfam family "Archaeal small subunit ribosomal RNA", at positions 474 to 903 of the family's 1478-position model. The record is from RNAcentral.
UACCAGCUCUCCGAGUGGUAGGGAUGAUUAUUGGGCUUAAAGCGUCCGUAGCCGGCUUGGCAAGUUUCCUGUUAAACUCUGCGACUUAAUCGUUGAAUCGCGGGAAAUACUACUAGGCUAGGAGGCGGGAGAGGUCAACGGUACUUCUGGGGUAGGGGUGAGAUCCUAUAAUCCCGGGAGGACCACCAGUGGCGAAGGCUGUUGACUAGAACGCGCUCGACGGUGAGGGACGAAAGCUGGGGGAGCGAACCGGAUUAGAUACCCGGGUAGUCCCAGCUGUAAACGAUGCGGGCUAGGUGUUGGGAUGGCUACGUGCCAUUUCAGUGCCGCAGGGAAGCCAUUAAGCCCGCCGCCUGGGGAGUACGGCCGCAAGGCUGAAACUUAAAGGAAUUGGCGGGGAGCACCACAAGGCGUGAAGCUUGCGGUUC